AGGGAAUCAUCCAGUCAUUCAAGAAAGUAGUCGAGCGGGAAACGGGUAACGUUAGCUCCUUGAAUGUAGCAGUGUGGCAAAGGGGACGACCAACCAAUGGAAUAGUGCCUGACAAGGACAGCAAACAGACUCUAUUCUUCCAGCUACCACGUGUUGAAAGCAAAUUCAAGACAAUGACAGCUCAAAGACAACAGACAGCUCCGAAAACAGCUCACCUGCCACUGUGAGGGAGAAUGUCUCAU
This is a long non-coding RNA of Sardina pilchardus (European sardine), 242 nucleotides long. RefSeq lists it as uncharacterized. The transcript is spliced from 3 exons. Lineage: Eukaryota; Metazoa; Chordata; Actinopteri; Clupeiformes; Clupeidae. The record is from RefSeq and is a predicted model, not a curated record.